AGAGUUUGAUCCUGGCUCAGGAUGAACGCUAGCUACAGGCUUAACACAUGCAAGUCGAGGGGAAACGACAUCGAAAGCUUGCUUUUGAUGGGCGUCGACCGGCGCACGGGUGAGUAACGCGUAUCCAACCUGCCCAUCACUUGGGGAUAACCUUGCGAAAGUAAGACUAAUACCCAAUGAUAUCUCUAGAAGACAUCUGAAAGAGAUUAAAGAUUUAUCGGUGAUGGAUGGGGAUGCGUCUGAUUAGCUUGUUGGCGGGGUAACGCCACGAAGGCUACGAUCAGUAGGGGUUCUGAGAGGAAGGUCCCCCANAUUGGAACUGAGACACGGUCCAAACUCAUACGGGAGGCA
Molecule: ribosomal RNA, 351 nt
Filed under: uncultured bacterium
Lineage: Bacteria
Description: bacterial SSU rRNA
Rfam family: Bacterial small subunit ribosomal RNA
Source: RNAcentral